GCCCCGAUGCUGAAAUUGGUAGACAGGCUAGCUUCAGGAGCUAGUGCCGCUUGCGGCGUGAGAGUUCGAGUCUCUCUUGGGGCA
Molecule: transfer RNA, 84 nt
Filed under: Candidatus Levybacteria bacterium RIFCSPLOWO2_01_FULL_39_10
Lineage: Bacteria; Candidatus Levyibacteriota
Description: tRNA-Leu
Rfam family: tRNA
About the family: Transfer RNA (tRNA) molecules are approximately 80 nucleotides in length.
Source: RNAcentral